GACCCUACGGGACGCAGCAGUAGGGAAUCUUCCACAAUGGACGAAAGUCUGAUGGAGCAACGCCGCGUGAGUGAAGAAGGGUUUCGGCUCGUAAAGCUCUAUCAGCAGGGAAGAAAAUGACGGUACCUGACUAAGAAGCCCCGGCUAACUACGUGCCAGCAGCCGCGGUAAUACGUAGGGGGCAAGCGUUAUCCGGAUUUACUGGGUGUAAAGGGAGCGUAGACGGCAUUGCAAGUCUGAUGUGAAAGAUUGGGGCUCAACCCCAGGCCUGCAUUGGAAACUUUAAAGCUGGAGUACAGG
RNAcentral lists this ribosomal RNA (300 nucleotides) under uncultured bacterium. RNAcentral's name for it is "bacterial SSU rRNA". It matches the Rfam family "Bacterial small subunit ribosomal RNA", at positions 335 to 652 of the family's 1533-position model. The record is from RNAcentral.